This 301-nucleotide ribosomal RNA is filed under the name uncultured bacterium. Its description in RNAcentral is "partial 16S ribosomal RNA". It matches the Rfam family "Bacterial small subunit ribosomal RNA", at positions 509 to 809 of the family's 1533-position model. The record is from RNAcentral.
CAGCCGCCGCGGUAAUACAGAGGGUGCAAGCGUUGUCCGGAAUUAUUUGGCGUAAAGGGCUCGCAGGCGGUUUCUUAAGUCUGAUGUGAAAGCCCCCGGCUCAACCGGGGAGGGUCAUUGGAAACUGGGAAACUUGAGUGCAGAAGAGGAGAGUGGCAUUCCACGUGUAGCGGUGAAAUGCGUAGAGAUGUGGAGGAACACCAGUGGCGAAGGCGACUCUCUGGUCUGUAACUGACGCUGAGGAGCGAAAGCGUGGGGAGCGAACAGGAUUAGAUACCCCAGUAGUCCCUGUCUCUUAUAA